Molecule: non-coding RNA, 697 nt
Organism: Chiloscyllium plagiosum (whitespotted bambooshark)
Lineage: Eukaryota; Metazoa; Chordata; Chondrichthyes; Orectolobiformes; Hemiscylliidae
Source: RefSeq, a predicted model, not a curated record
UUACUGUUCCAACAUUACGCUCUAAUUUAACUCAAUUCAGUUGGACAAUUGCGAUUCUGUUAAAGUGGGAGGUAAAGCCAGUGAGUUCAAAAAUAAACAUGCUGUGUGAAUGUUUGAUAAUCUUUCUGACUCAAUAGAUAUGUUAAUAAUUGUUUAGUCCUGACUUAGAGUAAAAAUUAGUCUGUGCUUUCCAGUUUAAUGACUUUAAUUUCUAAUGAUAAGGAUAUCUAACUAAAAUCUCCGAUAAUAAUAGCUAACUUUACUUAACAUAUUUACUCAAGAAUGAAAGAGACUAAGUUAUAUCUAAGAAUCCGAUAUCAUUAUGAUUACUUUUUAAUCAUGCUGUUAUUUUAUCCUCCCAGUUUUAAAAAUUGCAGACACAAGUUCAAUUAAGAGAAUUCUUAGCCGAGAUCUUUCUACACAAUCGGGAAAAGUCAGGCUAUAGUGAACGUGUUGACUUUUGAGAUUGUUACAUAUAGCAGAUUUGGAAAUGGAGCUGGGCAGUUCUUGACCAUUGCAACACAGCAGCACAGGAUAUCCGGUCCAUGUUCUGUUACCAUCAGCAAGAGUAACUUCAAAUUUAACAGAAAAAAGGUUAAAAAUCAUUCUCCAGCACAGUUUAAAAACUGGCACGGGAAAGGAACAAACUACAAUAUAUGAGAUUAGAUUACAUUACUUACAGUGUGGAAACAGGCCC